RNAcentral lists this ribosomal RNA (498 nucleotides) under uncultured bacterium. Its description in RNAcentral is "partial 16S ribosomal RNA". It matches the Rfam family "Bacterial small subunit ribosomal RNA", at positions 28 to 507 of the family's 1533-position model. The record is from RNAcentral.
GACGAACGCUGGCGGCGUGCCUAAUACAUGCAAGUCGAACGAGAGCGCCCGGUGCUUGCACUGGUCAAUCUAGUGGCGAACGGGUGAGUAACACGUGGGUAACCUGCCCAUCAGAGGGGGAUAACAUCCGGAAACGGAUGCUAAAACCGCAUAGGUCUUCGAACCGCAUGGUUUGAAGAGGAAAAGAGGCGCAAGCUUCUGCUGAUGGAUGGACCCGGGGUGCAUUAGCUAGUUGGUGAGGUAACGACUCCCCAAGGCCGUGAUGCAUAGCCGACCGGAGGGGGGGAUCGGCCACACUGGGACUGAGACACGGCCCAACCUCCUACGGGAGGCAGCAGUAGGGAGUCUUCCGCAAUGGACGCAAGUCUGACGGAGCAACGCCGCGUGAGUGAAGAAGGUUUUCGGAUCGUAAAACUCUGUUGUUAGAGAAGAACAAGUGCUAGAGUAACUGUUAGCGCCUUGACGGUAUCUAACCAGAAAGCCACGGCUAACUACGUG